Molecule: long non-coding RNA, 1112 nt
Filed under: Durio zibethinus
Lineage: Eukaryota; Viridiplantae; Streptophyta; Magnoliopsida; Malvales; Malvaceae
Description: long non-coding RNA (DZIB_LNC001244)
Source: RNAcentral
UUAUCAUUUCAGUGACUCCAUUAGCUCGAUCGGAUGUCAUAGUGUAGGGUUUCACUGUUUCAACUUGAAGAUUAAGUCAUGGCCACCUUAAGACCCCUCUAAUCUGGUCUAAAUCAUCAAACCAGAUAUGCGUAACACCUCACUCAGCAUUUAGAAAAAAAAAAAACAAUGUCAUGCUAAUGUGGCUUUCAUAAUCAUCAAUUUAACCUGACACUACAAAAACAGGUUAAUCUUUGUCUGAAUUUCUGUGUGCUUUAACUGAACCAUGGUUUUUUCACUAUCUCCCUAUACUUGAUUAAUUAAAGCCUAUAAUGGGUUCACAAGCUUGAACCAUAACUUUGUGGUUGUUGCUUCCUCAACCUUCAUUAAGCAUGAGUUCACAAUUUGAAGAUAAUACACGUCUAGAACUUUACCUUCUAUGUCCGGCGAAUUUAGCUGGCUUUAGGUUUAACAGGUUUCAAUACUUAAAUAGAAAUCGAUACAAAAUCAUGUUUGCCAAUCAGGCAAUCACAGACCUCAUGUUUUAAUGUACUUUUUUCUCUCAAACUAAUAGUCAUAUUUAAAUAUACUUUCAUGUUACUAAGAAGGUUUUGUUUCAAUGACAAGGAAAAUAUUCCAAAAAUGUUUAAAUUUCAUAUUCAAUUUCAUCAUAAGAAAUUUUGUCAAAUUAUAACUUUCAUGUUGCUAAGAAGGUUUUGUUUCAAUGACAAGGAAAAUAUUCUAGAAAUGUUUAAAUUUCAUAUUCAAUUUCAUCAUAAUAAAUUUUGUCAAAUUAUAUGUUAGAUUUGGUUUGUUUAUUAAUUUUUCUUUGAUAUGUUAAAAAUUUUGUUAUAAUUUUUAUAUAAAAAACACUUGCGUACAGAUUUUUUUAAUUUCCAAACUAGAGGCUUGCCGCUUUGGAAAAAAUCCCGGCGGGCUCGACUAAAGUGUUGGUUUCGUUCGUGGCAAAUGACUAUUGCUUGCAAUUAGUUUGUGGAUGAAUCCCAGGCCUUUAUUCCUUAGGAUAAGAAUGGGCCUCUCGGAGUAAGGAAGUUGGUGGUUUGAUCAAACAAAUUAAAUAAUAAUACUUAAUUUGUGCCAGUUGGGUCUUGCAAGUCUCAACCUUGACUGGG